GAACGCUUCUUUCCUCCCGAGUGCUUGCACUCAACUGGAAAGAGGAGUGGCGGACGGGUGAGUAACACGUGGGUAACCUACCCAUCAGAGGGGGAUAACACUUGGAAACAGGUGCUAAUACCGCAUAACAGUUUAUGCCGCAUGGCAUAAGAGUGAAAGGCGCUUUCGGGUGUCGCUGAUGGAUGGACCCGCGGUGCAUUAGCCAGUUGGUGAGGUAACGGCUCACCAAGGCCACGAUGCAUAGCCGACCUGAGAGGGUGAUCGGCCACACUGGGACUGAGACACGGCCCAGACUCCUACGGGAGGCAGCAGUAGGGAAUCUUCGGCAAUGGACGAAAGUCUGACCGAGCAACGCCGCGUGAGUGAAGAAGGUUUUCGGAUCGUAAAACUCUGUUGUUAGAGAAGAACAAGGACGUUAGUAACUGAACGUCCCCUGACGGUAUCUAACCAGAAAGCCACGGCUAACUACGUGCCAGCAGCCGCGGUAAUACGUAGGUGGCAAGCGUUGUCCGGAUUUAUUGGGCGUAAAGCGAGCGCAGGCGGUUUCUUAAGUCUGAUGUGAAAGCCCCCGGCUCAACCGGGGAGGGUCAUUGGAAACUGGGAGACUUGAGUGCAGAAGAGGAGAGUGGAGUUCCAUGUGUAGCGGUGAAAUGCGUAGAUAUAUGGAGGAACACCAGUGGCGAAGGCGGCUCUCUGGUCUGUAAC
Molecule: ribosomal RNA, 705 nt
Filed under: uncultured Bacilli bacterium
Lineage: Bacteria; Bacillati; Bacillota; Bacilli
Description: bacterial SSU rRNA
Rfam family: Bacterial small subunit ribosomal RNA
Source: RNAcentral